AACACGUGGGCAAUCUGCCCUUCACUCUGGGACAAGCCCUGGAAACGGGGUCUAAUACCGGAUAACACUUCCACUCUCCUGGGUGGAGGUUAAAAGCUCCGGCGGUGAAGGAUGAGCCCGCGGCCUAUCAGCUAGUUGGUGAGGUAAUGGCUCACCAAGGCGACGACGGGUAGCCGGCCUGAGAGGGCGACCGGCCACACUGGGACUGAGACACGGCCCAGACUCCUACGGGAGGCAGCAGUGGGGAAUAUUGCACAAUGGGCGAAAGCCUGAUGCAGCGACGCCGCGUGAGGGAUGACGGCCUUCGGGUUGUAAACCUCUUUCAGCAGGGAAGAAGCGAAAGUGACGGUACCUGCAGAAGAAGCGCCGGCUAACUACGUGCCAGCAGCCGCGGUAAUACGUAGGGCGCGAGCGUUGUCCGGAAUUAUUGGGCGUAAAGAGCUCGUAGGCGGCUUGUCACGUCGGUUGUGAAAGCCCGGGGCUUAACCCCGGGUCUGCAGUCGAUACGGGCAGGCUAGAGUUCGGUAGGGGAGAUCGGAAUUCCUGGUGUAGCGGUGAAAUGCGCAGAUAUCAGGAGGAACACCGGUGGCGAAGGCGGAUCUCUGGGCCGAUACUGACGCUGAGGAGCGAAAGCGUGGGGAGCGAACAGGAUUAGAUACCCUGGUAGUCCACGCCGUAAACGGUGGGCACUAGGUGUGGGCAACAUUCCACGUUGUCCGUGCCGCAGCUAACGCAUUAAGUGCCCCGCCUGGGGAGUACGGCCGCAAGGCUAAAACUCAAAGGAAUUGACGGGGGCCCGC
RNAcentral lists this ribosomal RNA (800 nucleotides) under Streptomyces sp. YIM 68193. RNAcentral's name for it is "bacterial SSU rRNA". It matches the Rfam family "Bacterial small subunit ribosomal RNA", at positions 112 to 924 of the family's 1533-position model. Lineage: Bacteria; Bacillati; Actinomycetota; Actinomycetes; Kitasatosporales; Streptomycetaceae. The record is from RNAcentral.